UAAACCAUGCACCGAAGCUGCGGCAGCGACACUAUGUGUUGUUGGGUAGGGGAGCGUUCUGUAAGCCUGCGAAGGUGGCCUGUGAGGGUUGCUGGAGGUAUCAGAAGUGCGAAUGCUGACAUAAGUAACGAUAAAGCGGGUGAAAAGCCCGCUCGCCGGAAGACCAAGGGUUCCUGUCCAACGUUAAUCGGGGCAGGGUGAGUCGACCCCUAAGGCGAGGCCGAAAGGCGUAGUCGAUGGGAAACAGGUUAAUAUUCCUGUACUUGGUGUUACUGCGAAGGGGGGACGGAGAAGGCUAUGUUAGCCGGGCGACGGUUGUCCCGGUUUAAGCAUGUAGGCUGGUUAUCCAGGCAAAUCCGGAUAAUCAAGGCUGAGGUGUGAUGACGAGGCACUACGGUGCUGAAGUAACAAAUGCCCUGCUUCCAGGAAAAGCCUCUAAGCAUCAGGUAACAUCAAAUCGUACCCCAAACCGACACAGGUGGUCAGGUAGAGAAUACCAAGGCGCUUGAGAGAACUCGGGUGAAGGAACUA
This 531-nucleotide ribosomal RNA is filed under the name Klebsiella pneumoniae. RNAcentral describes it as "partial 23S ribosomal RNA". It matches the Rfam family "Bacterial large subunit ribosomal RNA", at positions 1183 to 1715 of the family's 2925-position model. The record is from RNAcentral. Lineage: Bacteria; Pseudomonadati; Pseudomonadota; Gammaproteobacteria; Enterobacterales; Enterobacteriaceae.